AGUGAACGCUGGCGGUAGGCCUAACACAUGCAAGUCGAACGGCAGCACAGUAAGAGCUUGCUCUUACGGGUGGCGAGUGGCGGACGGGUGAGGAAUACAUCGGAAUCUACUUUUUCGUGGGGGAUAACGUAGGGAAACUUACGCUAAUACCGCAUACGACCUACGGGUGAAAGCAGGGGAUCUUCGGACCUUGCGCGAUUGAAUGAGCCGAUGACGGAUUAGCUAGUUGGCGGGGUAAAGGCCCACCAAGGCGACGAUCCGUAGCUGGUCUGAGAGGAUGAUCAGCCACACUGGAACUGAGACACGGUCCAGACUCCUACGGGAGGCAGCAGUGGGGAAUAUUGGACAAUGGGCGCAAGCCCGAUCCAGCCAUACCGCGUGGGUGAAGAAGGCCUUCGGGUUGUAAAGCCCUUUUGUUGGGAAAGAAAAGCAGCAGGUUAAUACCCCGCUGUUCUGACGGUACCCAAAGAAUAAGCACCGGCUAACUUCGUG
This 492-nucleotide ribosomal RNA is filed under the name uncultured bacterium. Its description in RNAcentral is "partial 16S ribosomal RNA". It matches the Rfam family "Bacterial small subunit ribosomal RNA", at positions 29 to 507 of the family's 1533-position model. The record is from RNAcentral.